GAUCAUGGCUCAGGAUGAACGCUGGCGGCGUGCUUAACACAUGCAAGUCGAACGAAGCACUUAAGAUUGAUUCUUCGGAUGAAGUCUUUUGUGACUGAGUGGCGGACGGGUGAGUAACGCGUGGGUAACCUGCCUCAUACAGGGGGAUAACAGUUAGAAAUGACUGCUAAUACCGCAUAAGCGCACAGGGUCGCAUGACCUAGUGUGAAAAACUCCGGUGGUAUGAGAUGGACCCG
This 236-nucleotide ribosomal RNA is filed under the name uncultured bacterium. RNAcentral's name for it is "partial 16S ribosomal RNA". It matches the Rfam family "Bacterial small subunit ribosomal RNA", at positions 15 to 233 of the family's 1533-position model. The record is from RNAcentral.